UACGAAGGGGGCUAGCGUUGCUCGGAAUCACUGGGCGUAAAGCGCACGUAGGCGGCUUUUUAAGUCAGGGGUGAAAUCCUGGAGCUCAACUCCGGAACUGCCUUUGAUACUGGCGAUCUAGAGAUCGAGAGAGGUGAGUGGAAUUCCGAGUGUAGAGGUGAAAUUCGUAGAUAUUCGCAAGAACACCAGUGGCGAAGGCGGCUCACUGGCCCGGUACUGACGCUGAGGUGCGAAAGCGUGGGGAGCAAACAGG
Molecule: ribosomal RNA, 253 nt
Filed under: uncultured bacterium
Lineage: Bacteria
Description: partial 16S ribosomal RNA
Rfam family: Bacterial small subunit ribosomal RNA
Source: RNAcentral